CACACCGCCCGUCGCUACUACCGAUUGAAUGGCUCAGUGAGGCCUUCGGACUGGCUCGGAGAGGUUGGCAACGACCAUUCUGAGCCGGAAAGUUGUCCAAACUCGGUCAUUUAGAGGAAGUAAAAGUCGUAACAAGGUUUCCGUAGGUGAACCUGCGGAAGGAUCAUUACCAAAACAUGGGAUUCUGUCGCCACACUGGUAUAGUACCAGUGUGUAAAUGCAGAUCCUGUCUGAACCCUUGUCUCUGUGUACCAUUUGUUUCCUUGGUGGGCUUUGCCUGCCAAACGGACACUAUUCAACCUCUUGUAAUUGCAAUCAGCGUCAGAAAAACAUAAUAGUUACAACUUUCAACAACGGAUCUCUUGGUUCUGGCAUCGAUGAAGAACGCAGCGAAAUGCGAAAAGUAGUGUGAAUUGCAGAAUUCAGUGAAUCAUCGAAUCUUUGAACGCACAUUGCGCCCUUUGGUAUUCCAAAGGGCAUGCCUGUUCGAGCGUCAUUUGUACCUUCAAGCACUGCUUGGUGUUGGGUGUUUGUCCGUGUUUUAUGCAUAGACUCGCCUCAAAGCUAUUGGCAGCCGGCAAUUAGCCUUGGAGCGCAGCACAUUUUGCGCCCCUUUGCUGGAAUGUUGGCGUCCAUCAAGUCUACACAUUUGCUCUUGACCUCGGAUCAGGUAGGGAUACCCGCUGAACUUAAGCAUAUCAAUAAGCGGAGGAAAAGAAACCAACAGGGAUUGCCCUAGUAACGGCGAGUGAAGCGGCAUCAGCUCAAAUUUGAAAUCUGGCUCUUUUAGGGUCCGAGUUGUAAUUUGCAGAGGGCGCUUUGGCGUUGGCAGCGGUCCAAGUUCCUUGGAACAGGACGUCACAGAGGGUGAGAAUCCCGUACGUGGUCGCUAGCCUUCGCCGUGUAAAGCCCCUUCGACGAGUCGAGUUGUUUGGGAAUGCAGCUCUAAAUGGGAGGUAAAUUUCUUCUAAAGCUAAAUACUGGCCAGAGACCGAUAGCGCACAAGUAGAGUGAUCGAAAGAUGAAAAGCACUUUGGAAAGAGAGUCAAACAGCACGUGAAAUUGUUGAAAGGGAAGCGCUUGCAGCCAGACUUGCUUGUAGUUGCUCACCCGGGCGUUGUCCGGUGCACUCUUCUACAGGCAGGCCAGCAUCAGUUUGGGCGGUUGGAUAAGGGACUCUUUCACGUACCUCCUUUCGGGGAGGCCUUAUAGAGGAGUCGAAGUACAACCAGCCUGGACUGAGGUCCGCGCAUCUGCUAGGAUGCUGGCGUAAUGGCUGUAAGCGGCCCGUCUUGAAACACGGACCAAGGAGUCUAACAUCUAUGCGAGUGUUUGGGUGUCAAGCCCGAACGCGUAAUGAAAGUGAACGGAGGUGGGAUCCCUUUAGGGUGCACCAUCGACCGAUCCUGAUGUCUUCGGAUGGAUUUGAGUAAGAGCAUGGCUGUUGGGACCCGAAAGAUGGUGAACUAUGCUUGAAUAGGGUGAAGCCAGAGGAAACUCUGGUGGAGGCUCGCAGCGGUUCUGACGUGCAAAUCGAUCGUCAAAUUUGGGCAUAGGGGCGAAAGACUAAUCGA
This 1574-nucleotide ribosomal RNA is filed under the name Fenestella fenestrata. RNAcentral describes it as "eukaryotic LSU rRNA". The stretch from base 657 to 1574 matches the Rfam family "Eukaryotic large subunit ribosomal RNA", at positions 1 to 938 of the family's 3401-position model. The record is from RNAcentral. Lineage: Eukaryota; Fungi; Ascomycota; Dothideomycetes; Pleosporales; Cucurbitariaceae.